This 447-nucleotide ribosomal RNA is filed under the name uncultured bacterium. RNAcentral's name for it is "partial 16S ribosomal RNA". It matches the Rfam family "Bacterial small subunit ribosomal RNA", at positions 29 to 523 of the family's 1533-position model. The record is from RNAcentral.
AACGAACGCUGGCGGCAGGCUUAACACAUGCAAGUCGAACGCCCCGCAAGGGGAGUGGCAGACGGGUGAGUAACACGUGGGAACGUGCCCUAAGGUUCGGAAUAUUCUCGGGAAACUGAGAGCAAUACCGAAUGGGUCCGAGAGGAGAAAGAUUGAUCGCCUUAGGAUCGGCCCGCGUUGGAUUAGCUAGUUGGUGGGGUAAAAGCCUACCAAGGCGACGAUCCAUAGGUGGUCUGAGAGGACGACCAGCCACACUGGGACUGUGACACGGCCCAGACUCCUACGGGAGGCAGCAGUGGGGAAUCUUGGACAAUGGGCGCAAGCCUGAUCCAGCCAUGCCGCGUGAGUGAUGAAGGCCCUAGGGUUGUAAAACUCUUUCGCCGAGGACGAUGAUGACGGUACUCGGAGAAGAAGCUCCGGCUAACUUCGUGCCAGCGGCCGCCGUAA